GACCCUGCUAAAGAAAGUGGAAGAGGAAAUCCAAAUGGCAGUCAAGGUAAAAUUUAACUUUAUCUAUUAAAAAUAAUUAACAUGCUGAAUUGGGCUUUCAAUUUCUCUUCAAUUUUCAGCUCCAUGAAAGAGAUUAUAAAGACAAUGUCACCAAGACAGAAGAGGCUAGAGAAGAUAACAAUGAAUAGAUCAACUGAAAUAAAGAUAAUAAAGCCUACAGCACCACAUAAAUACUAGAAAAGAUACCGUUUGGGAUGUCUUCUGUUUUU
Molecule: unclassified non-coding RNA, 269 nt
Filed under: Hevea brasiliensis (rubber tree)
Lineage: Eukaryota; Viridiplantae; Streptophyta; Magnoliopsida; Malpighiales; Euphorbiaceae
Source: RNAcentral